AUUGAACGCUGGCGGCAGGCCUAACACAUGCAAGUCGAGCGGCAGCGGAAAGUAGCUUGCUACUUUGCCGGCGAGCGGCGGACGGGUGAGUAAUGUCUGGGAAACUGCCUGGUGGAGGGGGAUAACUACUGGAAACGGUAGCUAAUACCGCAUGACCUCGAAAGAGCAAAGUGGGGGAUCUUCGGACCUCACGCCAUCGGAUGUGCCCAGAUGGGAUUAGCUAGUAGGUGAGGUAAUGGCUCACCUAGGCGACGAUCCCUAGCUGGUCUGAGAGGAUGACCAGCCACACUGGAACUGAGACACGGUCCAGACUCCUACGGGAGGCAGCAGUGGGGAAUAUUGCACAAUGGGCGCAAGCCUGAUGCAGCCAUGCCGCGUGUGUGAAGAAGGCCUUAGGGUUGUAAAGCACUUUCAGCGAGGAGGAAGGCAUCAUACUUAAUACGUGUGGUGAUUGACGUUACUCGCAGAAGAAGCACCGGCUAACUCCGUGCCAGCAGCCGCGGUAAUACGGAGGGUGCAAGCGUUAAUCGGAAUUACUGGGCGUAAAGCGCACGCAGGCGGUUUGUUAAGUCAGAUGUGAAAUCCCCGCGCUUAACGUGGGAACUGCAUUUGAAACUGGCAAGCUAGAGUCUUGUAGAGGGGGGUAGAAUUCCAGGUGUAGCGGUGAAAUGCGUAGAGAUCUGGAGGAAUACCGGUGGCGAAGCGGCCCCCUGGACAAAGACUGACGCUCAGUGCGAAAGCGUGGGGAGCAAACAGG
Molecule: ribosomal RNA, 757 nt
Filed under: uncultured Enterobacteriaceae bacterium
Lineage: Bacteria; Pseudomonadati; Pseudomonadota; Gammaproteobacteria; Enterobacterales; Enterobacteriaceae
Description: bacterial SSU rRNA
Rfam family: Bacterial small subunit ribosomal RNA
Source: RNAcentral